This 328-nucleotide ribosomal RNA is filed under the name uncultured eukaryote. RNAcentral describes it as "partial 18S ribosomal RNA". It matches the Rfam family "Eukaryotic small subunit ribosomal RNA", at positions 1470 to 1796 of the family's 1831-position model. The record is from RNAcentral.
CCCUUAGAUGUUCUGGGCCGCACGCGCGCUACAAUGAUGAAUUCAACGAGUUUAUAACCUUGGUUGAAAAUCCUGGGUAAUCUUUUGAACUUUCGUCGUGAUGGGGCUAGACCCUUGCAAUUAUUGGUCUCCAACGAGGAAUUCCUAGUAAACGCAAGUCAUCAGCUUGCAUUGAUUACGUCCCUGCCCUUUGUACACACCGCCCGUCGCUCCUACCGAUUGAGUGGUCCGGUGAGGCUUUGGGAUCUGAGCGGAAAGAGCGUUUCGCUGUUUCUGCUCGGAAAACUCAGUCGAACCUUAUCAUUUAGAGGAAGGAGAAGUCGUAACA